AUUGAACGCUGGCGGCAUGCUUUACACAUGCAAGUCGAACGGUAACAGGCCGCCAGGUGCUGACGAGUGGCGAACGGGUGAGUAAUGCAUCGGAACGUGCCCAGUCGUGGGGGAUAACUACUCGAAAGAGUAGCUAAUACCGCAUACGAUCUAUGGAUGAAAGCGGGGGACCGUAAGGCCUCGCGCGAUUGGAGCGGCCGAUGUCAGAUUAGGUAGUUGGUGGGGUAAAGGCUCACCAAGCCAACGAUCUGUAGCUGGUCUGAGAGGACAACCAGCCACACUGGGACUGAGACACGGCCCAGACUCCUACGGGAGGCAGCAGUGGGGAAUUUUGGACAAUGGGCGCAAGCCUGAUCCAGCAAUGCCGCGUGCAGGAAGAAGGCCUUCGGGUUGUAAACUGCUUUUGUACGGAACGAAACGGCUCUGGUUAAUACCCGGGGCUAAUGACGGUACCGUAAGAAUAAGCACCGGCUAACUACGUG
This 482-nucleotide ribosomal RNA is filed under the name uncultured bacterium. RNAcentral's name for it is "partial 16S ribosomal RNA". It matches the Rfam family "Bacterial small subunit ribosomal RNA", at positions 30 to 507 of the family's 1533-position model. The record is from RNAcentral.